RNAcentral lists this long non-coding RNA (310 nucleotides) under Mytilus galloprovincialis (Mediterranean mussel). The record is from RNAcentral. Lineage: Eukaryota; Metazoa; Mollusca; Bivalvia; Mytilida; Mytilidae.
AACUAGAGGCUCUAAAGAGCCUGUGUCGCUCACCUUGGUCUAUGUGCAUAUUAAACAAAGUACACAAAUGGAUUCAUGACAAAAUUGUAUUUUGGUGAUGGUGAUGUGUUUGAAGUUCUUACUUUACUGAACAUUCUUGCUUCUUACAAUUAUAUCUAUAAUGAACUUUGAACAUUAGUAACAGAGAAAAAUAUUUGGUAAAAAUUUACAUAAAUUUACCAAAUUAAUGAAAAUUGUUAAAAAUUGACUAUAAAGGGCAAUAACUCCUUAAGGGUCAAUUGACCAUUUAGGUCAUGUGGACUUAUUUGUA